AGUGAACGCUGGCGGUAGGCCUAACACAUGCAAGUCGAACGGCAGCACAGUAAGAGCUUGCUCUUACGGGUGGCGAGUGGCGGACGGGUGAGGAAUACAUCGGAAUCUACUUUUUCGUGGGGGAUAACGUAGGGAAACUUACGCUAAUACCGCAUACGACCUACGGGUGAAAGCAGGGGAUCUUCGGACCUUGCGCGAUUGAUUGAGCCGAUGUCGGAUUAGCUAGUUGGCGGGGUAAAGGCCCACCAAGGCGACGAUCCGUAGCUGAUCUGGGAGGAUGAUAAGCAAGAAUGGAACUGAAGCACGGACCAGAUGCAGGCAGGAAGCAGCAGUAGGGAAUAUUGGUCAAUGGGGACAAGCAUGAUCCAGCCAUACCGGGUGGGUGAAGAAGAGCUUCGGGUUGUAAAGCCCUUUUGUUGGGAAAGAAAAGCAGCGGGUUAAUACCCCGCUGUUCUGACGGUACCCAAAGAAUAAGCACCGGCUAACUUCGUG
This 492-nucleotide ribosomal RNA is filed under the name uncultured bacterium. RNAcentral's name for it is "partial 16S ribosomal RNA". It matches the Rfam family "Bacterial small subunit ribosomal RNA", at positions 29 to 507 of the family's 1533-position model. The record is from RNAcentral.